This is a long non-coding RNA of Chenopodium quinoa (quinoa), 802 nucleotides long. RefSeq lists it as uncharacterized. The transcript is spliced from 4 exons. The record is from RefSeq and is a predicted model, not a curated record. NCBI's taxonomy places the organism in Eukaryota, Viridiplantae, Streptophyta, Magnoliopsida, Caryophyllales, Amaranthaceae.
CUAUGAAAUGCCCGCUAAAAAUACUAGGUCAACCAAAAAUUUGACCAAUUUAAUUGUAGCUAAAAUUGUAAUGCAAGCUGCUAAAAAAAAGUUCCUUCCAAUUUUAUUAACCCGCCUUCUCUCUCCUAAAAUCUUCGUAUUCUCCAUUUUCUGCUGAACAUUUUCGCUGAAUAUCUUCUCCAUUUUCGCUCAGCCCUACAAAGAACCCAGUUUUGCGUUUUGUUCUAAUUCUGCGUUUUCCUCACAAAGAACCCCGAUUCUCCUCCAUUUCCGAGUUUUUGUUCAAUUUUUGGGUUUCCUCACAAAGAACCCGAUUUGUGACGACAUUGGAAUUUCCGACAGAUUUGGGGAUUGUUCAAUUCGUUCAGCGGCCACCUCUGUGAUGCAUGCAAAUGGCGACGUCUCUUUCUCUUCUCCUCUCCAUUGAAGUCUUAUUCUGAAUCCUCCAUUGAAUCCUCUCCUCUUCUUCUGUCAUUUCUGAAUUCACCGAGUAUCAAUUUCACAACCUAGGUUUUGCAAGAUAAAAAAUUGAAGGGACAGCUUGCUGUUAAAGAAGAGUUGUAUAAACGCUCUGCAAAAACAAGAACGAAUGUUGAAAAGGCUGGUUUGAUUAACAAGAAGCUCGGGGUUCAUCUGUUUGAUUUCUUGUCGUGAAUCCAUUCCUGCUGCUCGUAACAGCUGAUAUGUUCAUUUUAUAUAGUGAUUUACCCCUAUCCCUUGGUCAUUUUAGGAGUAUUUUUGGCUCUUUGGAGUCACUUUUAUUACUAAUAUGCGUUUUCUAGUGUUUUUGUAGUUUUGGUAU